AGGAUGAACGCUGGCGGCGUGCCUAAUACAUGCAAGUCGAACGAGUUCUGAUUAUUGAAAGGUGCUUGCAUCUUGAUUUAAUUUUGAACGAGUGGCGGACGGGUGAGUAACACGUGGGUAACCUGCCCUUAAGUGGGGGAUAACAUUUGGAAACAGAUGCUAAUACCGCAUAAAUCCAAAAACCGCAUGGUUCUUGGCUGAAAGAUGGCGUAAGCUAUCGCUUUUGGAUGGACCCGCGGCGUAUUAGCUAGUUGGUGAGGUAACGGCUCACCAAGGCAACGAUACGUAGCCGAACUGAGAGGUUGAUCGGCCACAUUGGGACUGAGACACGGCCCAAACUCCUACGGGAGGCAGCAGUAGGGAAUCUUCCACAAUGGACGCAAGUCUGAUGGAGCAACGCCGCGUGAGUGAAGAAGGCUUUCGGGUCGUAAAACUCUGUUGUUGGAGAAGAAUGGUCGGCAGAGUAACUGUUGUCGGCGUGACGGUAUCCAACCAGAAAGCCACGGCUAACUACGUGCCAGCAGCCGCGGUAAUACGUAGGUGGCAAGCGUUAUCCGGAUUUAUUGGGCGUAAAGCGAGCGCAGGCGGUUUUUUAAGUCUGAUGUGAAAGCCCUCGGCUUAACCGAGGAAGUGCAUCGGAAACUGGGAAACUUGAGUGCAGAAGAGGACAGUGGAACUCCAUGUGUAGCGGUGAAAUGCGUAGAUAUAUGGAAGAACACCAGUGGCGAAGGCGGCUGUCUGGUCUGUAACUGACGCUGAGGCUCCAAAGCAUGGGUAGCGAACAGGAUUAAAUACCCUGGUACUCCAUGCCGUACACGAUGAAUGCUAGGUGUUGGAGGGUUUCCGCCCUUCAGUGCCGCAGCUAACGCAUUAAGCAUUCCGCCUGGGGAGUACGACCGCAAGGUUGAAACUCAAAGGAAUUGACGGGGGCCCGCACAAGCGGUGGAGCAUGUGGUUUAAUUCGAAGCAACGCGAAGAACCUUACCAGGUCUUGACAUCUUUUGAUCACCUGAGAGAUCAGGUUUCCCCUUCGGGGGCAAAAUGACAGGUGGUGCAUGGUUGUCGUCAGCUCGUGUCGUGAGAUGUUGGGUUAAGUCCCGCAACGAGCGCAACCCUUAUGACUAGUUGCCAGCAUUUAGUUGGGCACUCUAGUAAGACUGCCGGUGACAAACCGGAGGAAGGUGGGGAUGACGUCAAAUCAUCAUGCCCCUUAUGACCUGGGCUACACACGUGCUACAAUGGAUGGUACAACGAGUUGCGAGACCGCGAGGUCAAGCUAAUCUCUUAAAGCCAUUCUCAGUUCGGACUGUAGGCUGCAACUCGCCUACACGAAGUCGGAAUCGCUAGUAAUCGCGGAUCAGCACGCCGCGGUGAAUACGUUCCCGGGCCUUGUACACACCGCCCGUCACACCAUGAGAGUUUGUAACACCCGAAGCCGGUGGCGUAACCCUUUUAGGGAGCGAGCCGUCUAAGGUGGGACAAAUGA
Molecule: ribosomal RNA, 1486 nt
Filed under: uncultured organism
Description: SSU rRNA
Rfam family: Bacterial small subunit ribosomal RNA
Source: RNAcentral